UAGGGAAGUCUUCCACAAUGGACGCAAGUCUGAUGGAGCAACGCCGCGUGAGUGAAGAAGGUCUUCGGAUCGUAAAACUCCGUUGUUAGAGAAGAACACGAGUGAGAGUAACUGUUCAUUCGAUGACGGUAUCUAACCAGCAAGUCACGGCUAACUACGUGCCAC
Molecule: ribosomal RNA, 165 nt
Filed under: uncultured bacterium
Lineage: Bacteria
Description: partial 16S rRNA
Rfam family: Bacterial small subunit ribosomal RNA
Source: RNAcentral